AACGAACGCUGGCGGCAUGCCUAACACAUGCAAGUCGAACGAAGCCUUCGGGCUUAGUGGCGCACGGGUGCGUAACGCGUGGGAAUCUGCCCUUGGGUUCGGAAUAACAGUUAGAAAUGACUGCUAAUACCGAAUGAUGUCUUCGGACCAAAGAUUUAUCGCCCAAGGAUGAGCCCGCGUCGGAUUAGCUAGUUGGUGAGGUAAAGGCUCACCAAGGCGACGAUCCGUAGCUGGUCUGAGAGGAUGAUCAGCCACACUGGGACUGAGACACGGCCCAGACUCCUACGGGAGGCAGCAGUGGGGAAUAAUUGGGACAAUGGGCGAAAGGCCUGAUCCAGCAAUGCCGCGUGAGUGAUGAAGGCCUUAGGGUUGUAAAGCUCUUUUACCCGGGUACUGAUAAUGACAGUACCGGGAGAAUAAGCCCCGGCUAACUCCGUGCCAGCAGCCGCGGUAAU
Molecule: ribosomal RNA, 455 nt
Filed under: uncultured bacterium
Lineage: Bacteria
Description: bacterial SSU rRNA
Rfam family: Bacterial small subunit ribosomal RNA
Source: RNAcentral